AGAUUCCACACAGGCACCUCUAGAAAAUAAUGCAGCCAGCCAAUCCUUAGACUUUAUCCCAGUGAGAGUCAAGUUGGACUUCUGACCUACAAAAGGGUAUUGCUUCCAUCCACAUGGCUGAAGAAGAUUCGUCAGGAAACAGCUUUUCCUGCUUUGGCAUCAAAACCAUAUCAACAAAAGCCCAAACCGCCCUUUGACACAGCCGACAAAGAUCCUGACAGAUAAAUUGGUGUGGGCCUGUCUUUCUGGGACCUUCU
Molecule: long non-coding RNA, 257 nt
Filed under: Homo sapiens (human)
Lineage: Eukaryota; Metazoa; Chordata; Mammalia; Primates; Hominidae
Description: HSALNT0142479
Source: RNAcentral